UUGGUAGUGUCAGAGAAAUGAAAUCAUCCAAUUAUCCACAGUACUGAUACAGUGCAGAUGGCAGCAGGGCAAGCUUCCCCACAUUGCCCUAACCGUGUUUUCACCCCUUUAUAUCUAGCAGUGAAAGGGUAAUUCCGCCUCCAUACCCAUUAAACCUUGGCCUCA
RNAcentral lists this small RNA (165 nucleotides) under Sphenodon punctatus (tuatara). RNAcentral describes it as "TUC338 (ENSSPUG00000009690.1)". The record is from RNAcentral. Lineage: Eukaryota; Metazoa; Chordata; Lepidosauria; Sphenodontia; Sphenodontidae.